Molecule: non-coding RNA, 321 nt
Organism: Schizosaccharomyces pombe (fission yeast)
Lineage: Eukaryota; Fungi; Ascomycota; Schizosaccharomycetes; Schizosaccharomycetales; Schizosaccharomycetaceae
Source: the annotation of a GenBank genome assembly
UUAGCAUAUUUUUACUGAGAUUGCUUUGUUAUAUCGAUGAAUUGGAAUUUCAGUUUGAAAGUAUUUCUUGGCAGUUGGACAAUUAGAAUAUCUUUCAAUCAUCACACGAUCUAAGCUUGUUCUCUAAAAAUCUUGUCUAUUUCUGCUGAAAGGACCUGUUGUGACCAUUCAGCACGAUCGUACCGAUUGAAGGAAGUCAAGGUUUGCAAGCUUCAAGUUUGGGUUGUAUAAUACUAUCAUCUAAAAGAAAAUAAAAACUAAAUUUAUGACCUGGUCCUAUGAAAAUCCAUUUGUUUUAUUUCAUCGACAAAGCAAAUAAAC